Long non-coding RNA from Myiozetetes cayanensis, 2869 nucleotides. RefSeq lists it as uncharacterized. The transcript has 3 exons. The record is from RefSeq and is a predicted model, not a curated record. NCBI's taxonomy places the organism in Eukaryota, Metazoa, Chordata, Aves, Passeriformes, Tyrannidae.
CACACAUUAUCUUCCCUGGUUUGUCUUACACAUAGAUAUGUUUUUACUCCCUUAUGCACAAAUCCAUCCUCUUUACACUCUCAGUUCUGCUCGUGGGAAAUGCUAUAGACCCCCCUGCUUGCACCCAUGGGCUAGUGAAGUUUCACAUAAUUAGGUCCGAAUACCCUCGGGUAGAAUGCAGUAUUUCACCAGAUUCACUGAGAGAUUUUGUGCAAGACCAAUUUAGGAGAGAAAAAAAAAUUCAGACUGAUUUAUUGUAUUUUGUAGGGCUGACCUGGAGACCUGUAAAUUGUUAAAUCUCCUGCAGCCAGCUGAAGCAGCUAUUGGCAGAGGCACCUCUGGACACUCUUCUGAGGUGCAUAUUACAAUCACUCAUCAAAUGUCCAUUUCAAAUGCUUUGUCUGAAUUAGUUACUGUUUCUGAGAACCUCUGCUUGCAAAGUUAUGUAUAAACAAACCAAAAAUCAAUCUUCUCUCAGUCCUAGCAGACACUUUCUAUAACUAACCUUGACAUUUGUAUCCCAACCCUUUAACAAACAGAAUCUGCCCAUUUCUGCUAGGUUUAAAAACUAAUCCUGAUAGACUUAGUCCGGGGCAUCAAUAAUUGUUUAAAUCUCAGUCUUUACUUCCUUCUCAUCCUUUCCUAUAACUCACUUUAAAAUUGUGCAACAUAAUGAGUCAUGAUAGUCAAGUGAGGGGGACUACAGACAAACAAUGUAAUAAAUAAAUGCCGUGUUUCAAGAAGAGGAAAUUUGGAAAGACACUGCAAUGUCGCUUUCUGUUGUUUAUUGUUAACAGAUUGACUAGAGCAUAUUAUGAUGCGAAGGAGAUGCGAUGCGAAGGAAAUAUUGCUCGUUGUCUCCUCCCCUCUUCCUCUCUAUCCAGUCGUCCUAGCCAACCUGGAAUUGGUGGGAUAAUUUGGUAACCAGUGUUACUUCUCCAUCCCCUUUUAUUUGUGCCUGGCAACACAUACUUUCAAAGCUACUACCUUCAUAUUUCACAGUGUCCCCUUUUCCGACCCCCACCCCCAGCAGUCAGCGAUUGCUAGUCACCGAAUUAAGCUACCAAAUGGACUGUGCAUUAUGCGUGUCCGGGGCUAGGUACAUUAACACACCCAGCCUUGCCAUCAAGGAAAGGAUCACACUCAAAUCCUGAAGUAAUAAAGUAAGUGCUCCAACAAUCAUCGUCAGCAGACAACCACUGACCCACCUUCUGCCUGCGCUAAGGAGUCUGGAAGAGGGAGAAGAAAAUGUCAGAUUGGGUGACCAGUAAUAGAGUUUUCUUUUCCUGCUGUAUUCAGUCCUGACUGAACAUUAGAGCUGACUUUUACCUAGUAAGUAGUCACAUAACAUUACAUUUAACAGUACUCUGUAGUACUCUGAUUACAACAGCUCAACUGAUGAUUUAACUUGUACAGUUUUAGGAGAUAUACUCUUGUAGGAAUUACAUAACUGCAGGAAAUUUUGAGAGAAAAGGGUGUCAUGAACAUGGAAAAGAGCAGCCUUGCCAGAUUUACCUAUAUGGUCUCAAAAGACUGUGAUGGUGUAUAUGGCAGAAAAAGGUUCACUUCGCUGUGUUGCUUUUUCUGUUGCCACUGAUUCAAAUACUGAAGCAGUGGCAUUACUUCAAUCCCUGCAACGUGGUAUUAGCUACUUCAAAGCUAUACUCUUUUUAUUGGGCUGAAUGUGCACUGAAGUAAAAGUUUCUGACACACUAUAAAAACAAAAACUAUGCUAACUUUUGUGUACUAAACACAAUGAAACUCAUCUCUAACUUCAGAAGACAGUGUAGACAUUCGGUCAAAGUUAAAAAUUGAAAGUUCCUUUAUAAUCACUGGAAACAGAGAAUAUAAUUUAAAUAUUUGCUUUAAGAUGGAUUACAUCUUUGACUCCAUUGAUCAUGAACUUAUUUUUAUAGCCUCUAAAGGAAGCUUAAGGUGAGUAGUUCAGAUAUUGAUCUCUAGUUGAAUAUUUCUCCAUUAAUCAAAUAGCCCAUUACACUUAAAAUAUUGUAUUGACAAAACAGAAACACACCUUAUAUACAAAGUUAAGAAUUUAUUUUUAGUGUAAUGGAAGUCUUAAAAGCUUUAAAGGCUUUAAACAAAUAAGUAAGUACAAUACAAUUAAAAUUGUUGUAUGCACAAUUUCUAGUACCUAUUUCAUUUUUCUGGUGUUAUGCACAUCCAUCCAGAACUGCGGAGGACAAGAGGAAAACUCAAAGGAUGUACAAGAAGUGGAGAAAAGUUUACAAAGAAUACAAUGAGGACUGUGUUUAAGUGAUUGGAUUUUCACACCGGACCUUCACUCAUAUGGACAGUCAAAAGCACCCAGAAAUGACAAGUUGCAAAAUGGUUUUAAGUAGUGUUGUUAAUGCAUGUUAAAGUUAAAUGUACCCCAGUUAUAAAUUCAUUAUUUUUUUCCAAAUGUGUUUUCCCCUCACAAAUCCCUAAUCCCUGAUUGGUUGUAAAAUCCUUCAUCCUGAUAGGUCGAGAUUUGCCACAGUGUGGGCGGUCUCGACACACCCCUGAGUGUUGUUAUUGGUCAAGAGUUAAUGUAUGCGUGUUGUUAAUCCCUCAUUGGUUCUACCCUGUUGUCAAUCCUAAACUCCUCCCAGUUUCCAGACCCUUCCAUCCCCGAACCUAUAAAAACCCUGUUCACCCUCAGUUCUUAGUCAGUGUACCUGUGCUCCUGUAGCCCUCGUCUAAUAAAUCAUCUACAGCAGAGCACGAACCCCUGUGUGCUGCGUGUCCUUUCCAUCCACCCAGACUGCGGCACAGAACCCUUUGAGUACUGAGGUGAGUGGUUUCAGUCUGGCUGGAGGAAGAAGGGAGAUUUAAAAGGAGCUGAGAGUGUCCCAGACUCUUCACCAGA